GGCGGGACGGGAACGCACGACGCGAUUUGGGCUCAUAACCCGAAGGUCGCAGGUUCAAAUCCUGCCCCCGCCACCA
Molecule: transfer RNA, 76 nt
Filed under: Acidimicrobiales bacterium
Lineage: Bacteria; Bacillati; Actinomycetota; Acidimicrobiia; Acidimicrobiales
Description: tRNA-Met
Rfam family: tRNA
About the family: Transfer RNA (tRNA) molecules are approximately 80 nucleotides in length. Their secondary structure includes four short double-helical elements and three loops (D, anti-codon, and T loops).
Source: RNAcentral